GGAGCCGAAGCGGGAGAGUCCCCGUGAACUCGACGGGGCACCGAAGGAGCAAAUUCCCCACAAUCUCUCAGGUACAGCCACCGCUUUCGGCGA
Molecule: non-coding RNA, 93 nt
Filed under: Saccharomonospora viridis
Lineage: Bacteria; Bacillati; Actinomycetota; Actinomycetes; Pseudonocardiales; Pseudonocardiaceae
Also listed under: 1 other name
Description: Glycine sequence
Rfam family: Glycine riboswitch aptamer
About the family: This family represents the bacterial glycine riboswitch. Glycine riboswitches usually consist of two metabolite-binding aptamers domains with similar structures in tandem.
Source: RNAcentral